CAAAGAUGCAAUGGCAAGAGAGCAAGAAAUUAAAACAAGGUCAAUCAAAAAGACAUUUGAUUGAUAGAAUACAAGACAGUUAUAAAACUUUGUGAAUAAAAUUGAGUGCGGGAUAGUGGCGGACGGGUGAGUAACGCGUGAAUAAUCUGCCCCAUACAGGGGGAUAGCCUCGGGAAACCGGGAUUAAAACCGCAUAACACUUUAUCACCGCAUGGUGAUGAAGUCAAAUCGAUUAAGAGGUAUGGGAUGAGUUCGCGUCUGAUUAGCUAGUUGGCGGGGUAAAGGCCCACCAAGGCGACGAUCAGUAGCCGGCCUGAGAGGGUGACCGGCCACACUGGAACUGAGACACGGUCCAGACUCCUACGGGAGGCAGCAGUGGGGAAUAUUGCACAAUGGGGGAAACCCUGAUGCAGCGACGCCGCGUGAGUGAAGAAGGUCUUCGGAUCGUAAAACUCUGUCCUUGGUGACGAAGGAAGUGACGGUAACCAAGGAGGAAGCCCCGGCUAACUACGUG
Molecule: ribosomal RNA, 514 nt
Filed under: uncultured bacterium
Lineage: Bacteria
Description: bacterial SSU rRNA
Rfam family: Bacterial small subunit ribosomal RNA
Source: RNAcentral